UUAGCCCAGCCUCAGAGUGUGGUCAAGGCCUGGGAUAUCAGCCAUUAAUGAUGGCGACCCUGGACAACUCCCCCUGAGACACAGCCUCAGAGUGUGUGGUCAAGGCCUGGGAUAUCAGCCAUUAAUGAUGGCAACCCUGGACAACUCCCCCUUAGCCCAGCCUCAGAGUGUGGUCAAGGCCUGGGAUAUCAGCCAUUAAUGAUGGCGACCCUGGACAACUCUGGACAACAAUUCGAGCCAGCGACCUUUCGGUUACUGGCCCAACACUCUUAACCGCUAGGGCUCCUGCCUUUCAGUGUUCCUCCUUAAUGUACUGUGGGCAGGACUUGAUGCAGGGCUUGAUGCAGGACUUGAUGCAGGGCUUGAUGCAAGGCUUGAUGCAGGGCUUGAUGCAGGGCUUGAUGCAGGACUUGAUGCAGGGCUUGAUGCAGGGCUUGAUGCAGGGCUUGAUGCAGGGCUUGAUGCAGGGCUUGAUGCAGGGCUUGAUGCAGGACUUGAUGCAGGGCUUGAUGCAGGACUUGAUGCAGGGCUUGAUGCAGGACUUGAUGCAGGGCUUGAUGCAGGGCUUGAUGCAGGGCUUGAUGCAGGGCUUGAUGCAGCCAAUGCUACCUGCUUGUUUAGAAGUCUGCUUUUCAGAAGCAAUGUGCCUUUAACAGUAUGCUUGAAAAUAAAUACACGUGACUCUGGAUGAAAACAUAAUGAUGUUUGUUUCCAACAUUAGGGCUGUUUUCCUAAAGAAGUUAGAUUUAGUUUUGUGUUUUGCUUCCUUGCUUGUGUCUUCCCGGCCCUAUGAGUUACCUGUUAUUGUGUCCCAAAUGGCACCCUAUUCUCUGUGACCUAUAUUUGACCAGGACUCAUUGGGAAUAGGGUACCAUUGAGAACUAAAAGUUACUUAGUUAGAGCUAUUGAGAUUAUCGCUGCAAAAGUGGAUGCUAGUUUUCCUACACUAACCUCAAUGUAAUCAACUGUCACAUUCCAAUAUGCAGAGAACUCUGUAACAAGUCAUAAAAUACACCAAAAAGUGGAUUUUGAACUAUUUCUGAAUGAUGGUUACCUGUUCACAGUUGAUGUAAAAUAGGUAAUUCUGUAUGACAUUCUUACAACAACAACAACAACAAUGCUCCUAUGCUGUUUGUCUUGUUGUAGAGUAUUGAAAUGGAAGUUAAUUGCAACCAUACCAAAGCCAAAUCUUUUGUUUACUCAACGUUAUUAUAUUAUUCAGUUUAGAUGAAGAUAAACCAUCUCAAAAGUGUUGUCAGUGUCCAUAUUGUGAUGCUCUCUUUAAGCCAAAUACACGUAAAGGAGGUGCUUGUUCCUGAAUUGCAGGGACGUUUUAAGCAGUCUAUGGUUUUCUUGAUGUUUUUAAAAUGACUGUUUGCUGCCUUUGUCUUUUCAUAAAUCAUACCAGCCUUUAUCAAAUGUUCCUUUGUGCCAGGAAGUGUGCCUUAACACUGGAUGAAUUAAAUAUAUUUCUUCAUACAUUUUCAUCAUAUUGUUCAGUUAAUUGAGAACGAUAACAAAUAAAUGAAUCGUUUUUCUUAAUGUUUUUUUAAACAGACACGAUGCAGUAGUACAUUUCUUUUAAUUUUAAAGCGUUUUGGUUGACUGUGUUUGUUUGGAUAGGAGUGUAAAGUCUGUCUCUGUUCCCAGGUUAGUCUGUCUCUGUUCCCAGGUUAGUCUGUCUCUGUUCCCAGGUUCCCUUCGUCUCUGUUCCCAGGUUCCCCUCGUCUCUGUUCCCUCCGUCUCUGUUCCCUCUGUCUCUGUUCCCUCUGUCUCUGUUCCCUCCGUCUCUGUU
This is a long non-coding RNA of Oncorhynchus tshawytscha (Chinook salmon), 1795 nucleotides long. RefSeq lists it as uncharacterized. The record is from RefSeq and is a predicted model, not a curated record. The transcript is spliced from 3 exons. NCBI's taxonomy places the organism in Eukaryota, Metazoa, Chordata, Actinopteri, Salmoniformes, Salmonidae.